Molecule: ribosomal RNA, 497 nt
Filed under: uncultured bacterium
Lineage: Bacteria
Description: partial 16S ribosomal RNA
Rfam family: Bacterial small subunit ribosomal RNA
Source: RNAcentral
GAUGAACGCUGGCGGCGUGCCUAAUACAUGCAAGUCGAGCGAACAGACGAGGAGCUUGCUCCUCUGACGUUAGCGGCGGACGGGUGAGUAACACGUGGAUAACCUACCUAUAAGACUGGGAUAACUUCGGGAAACCGGAGCUAAUACCGGAUAAUAUAUUGAACCGCAUGGUUCAAUAGUGAAAGACGGUUUUGCUGUCACUUAUAGAUGGAUCCGCGCCGCAUUAGCUAGUUGGUAAGGUAACGGCUUACCAAGGCAACGAUGCGUAGCCGACCUGAGAGGGUGGUCGGCCACACUGGAACUGAGACACGGUCCAGACUCCUACAGGAGGCAGCAGUAGGGAAUCUUCCGCAAUGGGCGAAAGCUUGACGGGGCAACGCCGCGUGAGUGGUGAAGGUCUUCGGAUCGUAAAACUCUGUUAUUAGGGAAGAACAAAUGUGUAAGUAACUAUGCACGUCUUGACGGUACCUAAUCAGAAAGCCACGGCUAACUACGUG